ACAAAAGAAUUGGGUUUUUCAAAAUCCUAGAGUGUCUUAGACCCUUAAACAAGUUUCAGAUCAUUAGUGUAAGAAGUGUAAUAUUCGGUUGUUAAAUUGGAAAGUGGAAAACUAAUUGAAAAAAUCUCGAUAUUUAUCGCAGUGAUGCAGCGUGCGCCUAUUGCCAGAGAGCUCCGAUGCAAGUGACGCGAAAAAAGCGGUUCCCGAGCAAUAUUCUAUUAAUGAGUAUAGAUCCUGAAAUAUUUUAGGUGCGUUCUAAUUAUGCAUAAAUGCUUUCUUCUUCUGUAAUACAACAUCAAAACACCAUGGUAGAGUAUAUUCCCGUGUGUGUGCGAUUUCUAGCUGGAUUCGCGUAUUUCCCAGCUGUACGUAUGCCCUUUGCCAACUGCAUACUUUAUUGAUACAAAUUGAUAUGACUUUAUGAGAGUUUGUGUACUUGUAAUAUCGCAUUGCGUUGUUAUGGCCAAUGCAUGCAGUGGCGGUCAUGUGUUGAUUAUGAUAUAAAAAUAAAUUCGAGUGAUGAAUGGAAUUUUGUAAAGGAUUUCACUAACUUUUUUCGCCCAGCCACGAG
Long non-coding RNA from Ceratitis capitata (Mediterranean fruit fly), 571 nucleotides. RefSeq lists it as uncharacterized. Lineage: Eukaryota; Metazoa; Arthropoda; Insecta; Diptera; Tephritidae. The record is from RefSeq and is a predicted model, not a curated record. The transcript is spliced from 3 exons.